AUGCGGACUCGCUUCCUCGCCGCCGACUACUUCUCCCCGCCGCCGCCGGCCUCCUGCUCGGACCAAGCCCUAGCCCUAGCGUCCUUGCGCUUCCCUCCUCUCCCCAUCCCCUCGCUUCCGCCCGAUCCGCAUUUCCCGCUCCCCCUCCCUUUCCCCGCCGCGGCCGACCUCCCCACAGUCAGCAUCUCGGGCGGCGAUCUCGACUCUCUCCCCAUAUCCUCCGCGCUAUCUGAGUUCCUCGCGGCCGUUAUUCCGCAGGCCCUGCCUGUGCCGGCUAUCCCCGCCGCCGACGAGGGAUUGGAUGAUUUCCUCUACGACAGGGGCGGGUAUCGCAAGGGUUUUAGCUUGAGGGAGUCUGUUGCAUUCAAAAUCCCUGAUGGAUUGGACGAGAUUAGCCGCGAGAAGGAUGGAAAGGGAGACGGAUCCAGGUCAUAUAGAUUGGGGACCUCCACUGACACGAAGAGAUGGGAACUGCUGAAGGAGCACAUAUUUGAGGUUGUAGAGGUCGAUCUCCCGCAGAUUUUGGAAGGACACGUUGCAUCCUUUGGUGGUGACGAGUCUGGUGAUGGUGGCACCUUAUUGUUUCGUGUUCCAGAUGCGAAAAUCCAGUUGGAUUUCAUUGAUAUUGACACUGAGAUGACAUUAAGCUAUCCAACUGAACUUGCGGAUUCAAUUUAUCAAGUAGAGAAAAUCCCUGUGAAGCAUAAUGACGAGGAACAUUUGUCUGCAAGGAAUAUUAACUUUUUGGAGAUUGCAGCAUUAGAUUGUGGUGUAACAAUACCACUACUGGAGGUUCAUAGGCAUUCUUGGGAGCUUAAUGGGUGUCCCACUAAGGCAGAGAUAUCUAAUAUUUUUCAUAACCUUGUUGAACAUUUGAGUGAAGCACAAGUUCAGCAUCCAGCGUUGAACUCAACCGAGUUCUCAAGAUCAACUGAUAUGGACAUGUUGGCCUUUGUUUCCAAAGAUGCCCCAUGUGCAGACUAUCAAGCAGAUAAACCAAUAACAGUUAAGGCUGCAGUAGAGAUGGAUCUUGUGAGGAUCAAUGAUAAUCUUCUACUUGAGAGAAACUCAGCAUUGUACCCUCUCAAGCCUGAUGGCACCUUUUCAGAUUUGCCUUGCUCAGUUCUUUUAGAAGAAGCACAGAUCAUUGAUUUCCCUUCAGAGGAUGUCUUCAAAAUGCUUGUUCAGUCAGAUGCAGCUGAGCUGAAUACAUCUGAUGAAAUAUUCAAAGACGACUUCGAUCCAGCAAGGCGUUUCUAUGAAUCAGUGGUUAGCUCUGAGUUGGUGCUGGUUGACGAUACAUUCAGAUCACUACCUACACCUAUUUUAUCUGAUGAUGAUAUGACACUGAGGUCUAUGGUCCCCUCCAUAGGAGAAGUACUUUGCUCCCUGAAAACUUAUUCACUCUCUGCAGCCGACAGAAUUUAUUUGGACUGGCAUCUUUUAUUGGAAGGUCCAUGCAACCGGGAGAUAUGCUCUACCUAUGCAAUCAUGGUUGAGGAGGUAAAAAGUUGCCACUUCAAUUCUGAGAUGCAAGUCAAUUGUCAGCAGACAUCAGCACUUGGUUUUGAUUUUCUUGAGUAUUUUUGGGGAAGUGCAAAACACCAAGAUGAGGACAAGCAGAACAAUAUUUAUGUGCCUACCCCUCUACCUCAUGAUCCACCUCCUGCAGUGGAAACAGCUCAAAAAUACAGACAAGAAAGUGAUACUGAAGGCCACGGCCACAUGGAAAAGCCAAGUUUAGGAAAGGCAGCUUCGUUAUUCAAGUCAAUGUCACAAUCCAGUGACAUAAAUUUCUACUUGAACGUCAGAAGCGGCACCAAGAGAGGAACUAAUGAUGAAAAUAUUUCUACUUUAGAUAUCCCUACUUUAAAUGAACAAGCAGCUUCUUUUCCAAGCAGGUCUAAAGUUGACAAGCUCAUAGAAAUUCAUCCUGUCAACCUUUCAGAUUCUAUCCGAGCCCUUAUCAAACAAAUCCAUAGAAGCUAUACAACUGCUUUGCAAGAAAGUGCAUAUUUGAGGCAUACUUUCUCGGAUGGGCAUUUAAGCAUUCCGAAGCAGAAGCUUCUUGGACUGAUAACUGGAGAUGGUUCAGAUGGCUUUGAUAAUCACUGUAAACAUGAAGAUAAGAUGGAACUCAUUGUACUCUAUGGUUUAAAACAGGUUGCAUAUUAUCUAUGUUUCUUUGGUUUGCAUGCUGGCCAUCUGUACAUAAGCAACCUGAUUGGAAGCUUUGAAAAUAUUCCUGAGAGGUUAAGAAAUAUUCAUAGUUUCAUUGGUGAAGCACUGUGGAAAGCUGAGAAGCAUCAGAUUGACUCUCACCCAUCAUUGCAUGACAUUGAAAUGAUCCUGAGGUCUAAUACACACACCAGCCAACAGAUCCUUAUAGUUGCCGAUACAGCUUUCUGGCUGCCAUUGGGUCAAAAAUUAACUUCGAUGAAGAUGACAUUUGUUGAGCUAGGAAAAGACCCUGCUGCAGCUUAUUUAGAUCCGGUGGACAAGCCAAACCCUACAACUUGGGUGCUCAGAGGAUUGCCGAAAUCAGACUGCAUUCUGCUAGAUAAUAAGAACAUUCCAGCUUCAUUCCCUUUCAAUGAGUUUGGCAUCGUACUGGAAUACGGAGGUCCAGAUAAAUUAUCUACCUUGUUGUCUCUGGCUCCUAAUUUAGAUGGUUUUCCACAACUGCAUUUCCUCUAUGUCAAAGUGGAUGUUGAAGAUCCUUCGGUUGCACUUGUUGAGGACAACCCUACUGACCAGGAGUUGAGAGCCACACUGGAUACGGUUUUGCAUGCACUUCAGAAAGAUCUGCAAGAGAAGAUGAACAAGAUGCGUAUUGUUGAUUCAUUGAACUUUAUACCAGCAACUAAUCAGCUGCAAGGACGGCAGGAAAAUCUCUGCAAAUAUAUCACUGCUGAUUCAACAAAAAUAUUGCCUGCAGAUGAUCAACUGCUCAAACAAGAAAAUUUGGAGAAAGAGUUUGUUGAUGCACAUAAUUUUGUUCCUACAGCUGAACAGCGGCACAUAGAGGAAAUGUUGAGCAAAAGAACUAUCCUCCAUUCACAACAUUUUGUGCCUACAGUUGAGAAGAGCAGCUCUACUUCUUCUGUAUCUGCAAAUGUGAUCAAGGCCCCACAAGACAAUCUAUCUGGUACUGACUUGCCUUCCGGUGUAAAAGUUGGUCGCCUCACUCCAGGAAGAUUAUCCACCCCGGCGGUUGUUGUAAAUACUGGAAGUCAUGGAAAGAAUAUGCUUUUCUCUCGGAGAUCAUCUUAUCAGCAGAUACUAUCUUUGGAGAAAGGAGGAAUGCAGGUUGUGGAACGAGACGUUGAUCUUCCUGUGGACCUAAUACUCAGUGCUGCAGCUUGCCUAGUAUGGUUUGAGACAAAAAUCUUUGGGAGCAAUGAAUUCACAGCAUCGGCAGAGACAUCUAGUAUAACAAAUUUUGUAGAGAUCAUUGCGACCAACAUUCUGAUGUCAAUUAGCUUCUGUUUCUGUGGUUGUAUAAUGGUCUUUGAAGGUGAACCUCACCCCCUUUCUGCUGUAAUGGAGUCAUCUGAUUCUCUAUAUGCUGCAGCUGCUAGUCUGAUGAUGAACGUGCAGAUAUUCUUCUCAUGCACACCCAAGUCAACAGAUGAGAUAGUUCUUAGUUGCAUUAGGAAUGUGAACAUGUUGAAUAAAGCUCCUUCUCCAGAUAUACCUGAAUCAGAAAGCUUGGCUGAAUCAUUUUUCACAAAAUUCCCUUCAAUCAAUCCCUUGUCUGCAUACAGUAUGCUUUCUUGUGGAGGCAGCCUUGUGGAGUUCCUCAGUUGGUCACAUGAGUGUCGUAUACAGGCUGUUGAGAAGUAUCUCUUGUCCCCGCAGAGCAUUUCUCUGUUCAAUGCUUUGUGCAAAUUCGGUGAGCUAGGUGAAUCUAGGUCUGUGAUGACUGAAGGCUCUUCUGUAGAUUCAGACAUCUGUAGUGCAUUGUUGCAGUCUCCAAGUAAAAGGAAAAGGUGCGCCUCUCAAGUUUUUGCAGUACCAACUAGUGAUCCCCUCCAUCCGGAUCCUCUAAACCAAUUGCCUGGUGAUUAUGUAGAACAUAACAAUGUAUUCUCACAGCCUAAGUUGAGGAGGUUCUCCGACACGGAGGAUGCAAUGCCUCAGCUCCCAGAGGUCUUUAUGUUCGAUCAAAGUUUGAGUAGGGGAGGUGAGGGGGUCUCUUGUCUGCCAAGAAAACACGGUAUUGAUGCAAUAACUGGCAAUCAGAUCAUGAGUGAUCAUAUCAGCAAUGGAUUGACUGCAGAUACGAGGCAUUGUAACCGAAGAAGGGCUAACAAUAUGGUGGACACAUAUGACUUCUCUUGGCAACCGGAAUCAGGGGGUAAAGAACCUAUCAAAAGCUCUUUUCCGGCAAGCGAACCAUCAUUCAGCAGAAGUUACAGUCAUCCAGUAUUUCCAUCUGCAUUGGAGAUCAAUGAUGAUACUGGUUACUGGGACAUUUCAGGAGGUGCACAUGACACUUGGAAGGGUCAUGUACAUGGGGGUAUUGCCUCAACCUCUUGCAGAAAUGAUGUGGGCAGCAGAUAUCAUGAGCCAACAGAGGAAAUAAUGCAGAAGGGUCAUGUACAUGGGGGUAUUGCCUCAACCUCUUGCAGAAAUGAUGUGGGCAGCAGAUAUCAUGAGCCAACAGAGGAAAUAAUGCAGAAGGGUCAUGUACAUGGGGAUAUUGCCUCAACCUCUUGCAGAAAUGAUGUGGGCAGCAGAUAUCAUGAGCCAAGAGAGGAAAUAAUGCAUAAUCCAGGAAGUUCGCUUGCUUUUCUGAAACAGGAUUCUGGCUUUCAUGCGACUCCACAUGGCUCAAGCUGGGAAAUUGAUUAUCUAAGGCAAAUGAACGAAAAAAGAAGAGCACGUGAGGAGAGAUCAAGAUGUAAUACAUCAGGGAUGAGGGACGGGGCCGCUAAGAUUAUAAAUCCUCCACUUAUUGGAUCCUUCAGAUACCAAGGAGAUGGAGAUACUCCUUCGAGGAACCGGAGCCCAUCUGUGGGAACUCACCAUCAUAAGAAAGCCAGAGAAGAAACUAAAGCACAUACCCAUAGAGCAAGAAAAGAUUUCAAGAUGCAACCAAGUGUAAGUCACGAAAACAGGAUAGAGCCGUCCAUAUAUCCAUCGUGGACUCCCAUUGACAAGAGAGCCAGACAGAAACUUUCAUUUGCAACAUACGGGAAGGAGAAGCAAAGCAAGUUGGUCUGGAGAGACCCAAAUAGCUCUGGUGCUGAGUGUGGCUUCCGGAAAAGAUACCGGGAAGAAGGUACGUAG
Molecule: ribosomal RNA, 5295 nt
Filed under: Triticum aestivum (bread wheat)
Lineage: Eukaryota; Viridiplantae; Streptophyta; Magnoliopsida; Poales; Poaceae
Description: partial small subunit ribosomal RNA
Source: RNAcentral